Molecule: ribosomal RNA, 442 nt
Filed under: uncultured bacterium
Lineage: Bacteria
Description: partial 16S ribosomal RNA
Rfam family: Bacterial small subunit ribosomal RNA
Source: RNAcentral
CCUACGGGAGGCAGCAGUAGGGAAUCUUUCACAAUGGGCGAAAGCCUGAUGGAGCAACGCCGCGUGCAGGAUGAAGGCCUUCGGGUUGUAAACUGCUUUUAUAAGCGAGAAAUAUGAUGGUAACUUAUGAAUAAGGAUCGGCUAAUUACGUGCCAGCAGCCGCGGUCAUACGUAGGAUCCGAGCAUUAUCCGGAGUGACUGGGUGUAAAGAGUUGCGUAGGUGGCAUAAUAAGUAGCUAGUGAAAUCUGGUGGCUCAACCAUUCAGACUAUUAGCUAAACUGUUAAGCUCGAGACCGUUAGGGGUAACUGGAAUUUCUAGUGUAGGAGUGAAAUCCGUAGAUAUUAGAAGGAACACCAAUAGCGUAGGCAGGUUGCUGGGACGGUUCUGACACUAAGGCACGAAAGCGUAGGGAGCAAACGGGAUUAGAUACCCCAGUAGUC